This 154-nucleotide microRNA precursor is filed under the name Amborella trichopoda. RNAcentral's name for it is "MIR8565 microRNA precursor family". It matches the Rfam family "MIR8565 microRNA precursor family". The record is from Rfam by way of RNAcentral. Lineage: Eukaryota; Viridiplantae; Streptophyta; Magnoliopsida; Amborellales; Amborellaceae.
CCCACACCCAUGUGUGUAGGACCCCAAAUGAUCACCAUUAAAUUUGGCACAGAUCUCUAGAAAAAUUAUGAUAUGGGUGUGUGACUUGAUUUUUCCAGAGAUCUGUGACAAAUUUAAUGGUGAUCAUUUGAGGUCUUGCACACAUGGGUGUGAG